GAUGAACGCUGGCGGCGUGCCUAAUACAUGCAAGUCGAGCGAACAGACGAGGAGCUUGCUCCUCUGACGUUAGCGGCGGACGGGUGAGUAACACGUGGAUAACCUACCUAUAAGACUGGGAUAACUACGGGAAACCGGAGCUAAUACCGGAGAAUAUAUUGAACCGCAUGGUUCAAUAGUGAAUGACGGUUUUGCUGUCUCUUAUAGAUGGAUCCGCGCCGCAUUAGCUAGUUGGUAAGGUAACGGCUUACCAAGGCAACGAUGCGUAGCCGACCUGAGAGGGUGAUCGGCCACACUGGAACUGAGACACGGUCCAGACUCCUACGGGAGGCAGCAGUAGGGAAUCUUACGCAAUGGGCGAAAGCCUGACGGAGCAACGCCGCGUGAGUGAUGAAGGUCUUCGGAUCGUAAAACUCUGUUAUUAGGGAAGAACAAAUGUGUAAGUAACUAUGCACGUCUUGACGGUACCUAAUCAGAAAGCCACGGCUAACUACGUG
This 497-nucleotide ribosomal RNA is filed under the name uncultured bacterium. RNAcentral's name for it is "partial 16S ribosomal RNA". It matches the Rfam family "Bacterial small subunit ribosomal RNA", at positions 28 to 507 of the family's 1533-position model. The record is from RNAcentral.